GACAGAGGUUGCAAGCGUUGUUCGGAAUUACUGGGCAUAAAGCGCACGUAGGCGGUCCGCUAAGUCAUGUGUGAAAUCCCCCGGCUCAACCGGGGAAUGGCGCCUGAUACUGGCGGACUCGAGAUCGGUAGGGGUGAGUGGAACUCCAGGUGGAGCGGUGAAAUGCGUAGAUAUCUGGAGGAACACCGGUGGCGAGAGCGACUCACUGGACCGACACUGACGCUGAGGUGCGAAAGCUAGGGUAGCAAACGGG
Molecule: ribosomal RNA, 253 nt
Filed under: uncultured bacterium
Lineage: Bacteria
Description: partial 16S ribosomal RNA
Rfam family: Bacterial small subunit ribosomal RNA
Source: RNAcentral